Molecule: long non-coding RNA, 174 nt
Organism: Seriola dumerili (greater amberjack)
Lineage: Eukaryota; Metazoa; Chordata; Actinopteri; Carangiformes; Carangidae
Exons: 3
Source: RefSeq, a predicted model, not a curated record
CAAAUAACAAAUUGCAAAGUUUCAAAAAUCAAAAAAGUGGUGUUCAUUUGUGAAGAAUAUCUUGCUGAAUUAAGCAUAAAUGGGGAAAUGUUGCAACCUUGCUGAACCAUUAUUUUGAGGACGAAGGGAAGUGAAACUUCUAGACAUAUUGUAAAACAAAGGAUGAACUAGGGA